Molecule: ribosomal RNA, 1001 nt
Filed under: Alteromonas sp.
Lineage: Bacteria; Pseudomonadati; Pseudomonadota; Gammaproteobacteria; Alteromonadales; Alteromonadaceae
Description: bacterial SSU rRNA
Rfam family: Bacterial small subunit ribosomal RNA
Source: RNAcentral
AGAUGACGAGUGGCGGACGGGUGAGUAAUGCUUGGGAACUUGCCUUUGCGAGGGGGAUAACAGUUGGAAACGACUGCUAAUACCGCAUAAUGUCUUCGGACCAAACGGGGCUUCGGCUCCGGCGCAAAGAGAGGCCCAAGUGAGAUUAGCUAGUUGGUAAGGUAACGGCUUACCAAGGCGACGAUCUCUAGCUGUUCUGAGAGGAAGAUCAGCCACACUGGGACUGAGACACGGCCCAGACUCCUACGGGAGGCAGCAGUGGGGAAUAUUGCACAAUGGGGGAAACCCUGAUGCAGCCAUGCCGCGUGUGUGAAGAAGGCCUUCGGGUUGUAAAGCACUUUCAGUUGUGAGGAAAAGUUAGUAGUUAAUACCUGCUAGCCGUGACGUUAACAACAGAAGAAGCACCGGCUAACUCCGUGCCAGCAGCCGCGGUAAUACGGAGGGUGCGAGCGUUAAUCGGAAUUACUGGGCGUAAAGCGCACGCAGGCGGUUUGUUAAGCUAGAUGUGAAAGCCCCGGGCUCAACCUGGGAUGGUCAUUUAGAACUGGCAGACUAGAGUCUUGGAGAGGGGAGUGGAAUUCCAGGUGUAGCGGUGAAAUGCGUAGAUAUCUGGAGGAACAUCAGUGGCGAAGGCGACUCCCUGGCCAAAGACUGACGCUCAUGUGCGAAAGUGUGGGUAGCGAACAGGAUUAGAUACCCUGGUAGUCCACACCGUAAACGCUGUCUACUAGCUGUGUGUGCCUUUAAGGCGUGCGUAGCGAAGCUAACGCGCUAAGUAGACCGCCUGGGGGAGUACGGCCGCAAGGUUAAAACUCAAAUGAAUUGACGGGGGCCCGCACAAGCGGUGGAGCAUGUGGUUUAAUUCGAUGCAACGCGAAGAACCUUACCUACACUUGACAUGCUGAGAAGUUACUAGAGAUAGUUUCGUGCCUUCGGGAACUCAGACACAGGUGCUGCAUGGCUGUCGUCAGCUCGUGUCGUGAAAUGUUGGGUUAAGUCCC